CUCCCCUCCUUAUAUAAAAUUCGUCCUCGAAUUUAAAAGAGUAAAUUACCUGAUUACUCAAAGGGGUAAGUAGAGCAACAAUACUAUCAGAAGCUUUUCUGCUCGGUGUGGUAUUGGAAAUCAAAUCAAUUGGAAGUGUUUUACCUUCUAUCUCUACCACACAGGUAGGAUACAUAUAUUUUGCUUUUAUACUAUCCCCUACAGGUGUACUAAUAGCUAAGAGAAUAUGCAUUAAUAUCUUAUCCUUAGCUAACUUUUUAGCAAAAUAAGGGGAUACAAAUGAAUGGGUAGCUCCAGAAUCAAAUAACACUCUAGCUUUAAUCUCAUCAA
RNAcentral lists this long non-coding RNA (330 nucleotides) under Phoenix dactylifera (date palm). RNAcentral describes it as "long non-coding RNA (PDAC_LNC023156)". Lineage: Eukaryota; Viridiplantae; Streptophyta; Magnoliopsida; Arecales; Arecaceae. The record is from RNAcentral.